AAAACAUUCGGACCGUCGGUCUACCGAGUAAUAUCACCCGCUCGGUGGAAGAUCUUCCUUUCGUCGU
This 67-nucleotide microRNA precursor is filed under the name Bombyx mori (domestic silkworm). RNAcentral describes it as "mir-2774 microRNA precursor family". It matches the Rfam family "mir-2774 microRNA precursor family". Lineage: Eukaryota; Metazoa; Arthropoda; Insecta; Lepidoptera; Bombycidae. The record is from Rfam by way of RNAcentral.